Molecule: ribosomal RNA, 414 nt
Filed under: uncultured microorganism
Description: bacterial SSU rRNA
Rfam family: Archaeal small subunit ribosomal RNA
Source: RNAcentral
CAGCAGCCGCGGUAAUACCGGCGGCCCGAGUGGCGGUCACUAUUAUUGGGCUUAAAGCGUCCGUAGCCGGGUUGGGAAGUCCUCCGGGAAAUCUGGCCGCUUAACGGUCAGAAUGCCGGAGGAUACUCCCAGCCUAGGGAGCGGGAGAGGCCGAGGGGAUUCCCGGAGGAGGGGGGAAAUCCUAUAAUCCCGGGAGGACCACCUGUGGCGAAGGCGCUCGGCUGGAACGCGUCCGACGGUGAGGGACGAAGGCCAGGGGAGCAAACCGGAUUAGAUACCCGGGUAGUCCUGGCUGUAAACGAUGCGGGCUAGCUGUUGGGUGGGCUGAGAGCCCACCCAGUGGCGCAGGGAAGCCGUUAAGCCCGCCGCCUGGGGAGUACGGCCGCAAGGCUGAAACUUAAAGGAAUUGGCGGG